UCCUUUACUGACGCUAAAGCUCGAAGGUGCGGGUAUCGAACAGGAUUAGAUACCCUGGUAGUCCGCACGGUAAACGAUGGAUGCCCGCUGUUUGCGAUAUAUUGUAAGCGGCCAAGCGAAAGCGUUAAGCAUCCCACCUGGGGAGUACGCCGGCAACGGUGAAACUCAAAGGAAUUGACGGGGGCCCGCACAAGCGGAGGAACAUGUGGUUUAAUUCGAUGAUACGCGAGGAACCUUACCCGGGCUUGAACUGCAGGAGAACGAUCCAGAGAUGGUGAGGCCCUUCGGGGCUCCUGUGGAGGUGCUGCAUGGUUGUCGUCAGCUCGUGCCGUGAGGUGUCGGCUUAAGUGCCAUAACGAGCGCAACCCCUUUCGCCAGUUGCCAUCAGGUGAUGCUGGGCACUCCGGCGACACUGCCACCGUAAGGUGCGAGGAAGGUGGGGAUGACGUCAAAUCAGCACGGCCCUUACGUCCGGGGCUACACACGUGUUACAAUGGGUGGUACAGAGAGCAGGGUGCACGCAAGUUCACCCGAAUCAAGAAAGCCAUCCUCAGUUCGGAUUGGGGUCUGCAACCCGACCCCAUGAAGCUGGAUUCGCUAG
This 601-nucleotide ribosomal RNA is filed under the name uncultured bacterium. RNAcentral's name for it is "bacterial SSU rRNA". It matches the Rfam family "Bacterial small subunit ribosomal RNA", at positions 733 to 1338 of the family's 1533-position model. The record is from RNAcentral.